GAGGGGUGAGACCUGAUGCCGAGCCGAUUGUGGUGAAGUGGAUGAUCCUAUGCUGUCGAGAAAAGCCUCUAGCGAGUGUCAUGGCGGCCCGUACCCUAAACCGACUCAGGUGGUCAGGUAGAGAAUACCGAGGCGUUCGGGUGAACUGUGGUUAAGGAACUCGGCAAAAUGCCCCCGUAACUUCGGGAGAAGGGGGGCCAGCUCUGGUGAUGAACCGCGCGUUCUGAGCUGGGGGUGGCCGCAGAGACCAGCGAGAAGCGACUGUUUACUAAAAACACAGGUCCGUGCGAAGCCGUAAGGCGAUGUAUACGGACUGACGCCUGCCCGGUGCUGGAACGUUAAGGGGACCGGUUAGCCGGCUUUCGGGUCGGCGAAGCUGAGAACUUAAGCGCCAGUAAACGGCGGUGGUAACUAUAACCAUCCUAAGGUAGCGAAAUUCCUUGUCGGGUAAGUUCCGACCUGCACGAAUGGCGUAACGACUUCUCGACUGUCUCAACCACAGGCCCGGUGAAAUUGCACUACGAGUAAAGAUGCUCGUUUCGCGCAGCAGGACGGAAAGACCCCGGGACCUUUACUACAGUUUGAUAUUGGUGUUCGGUUCGGCUUGUGUAGGAUAGCUGGGAGACUGUGAAGCCUUCACGCCAGUGAGGGUGGAGUCGCCGUUGAAAUACCAGUCUGGUCGUGCUGGAUGUCUAACCCGGGUCCGUGAUCCGGAUCGGGGACAGUGUCUGACGGGUAGUUUAACUGGGGCGGUUGCCUCCUAAAGGGUAACGGAGGCGCCCAAAGGUUCCCUCAGCCUGGUUGGCAAUCAGGUGUUGAGUGUAAGUGCACAAGGGAGCUUGACUGUGAGACCGACGGGUCGAGCAGGGACGAAAGUCGGGACUAGUGAUCCGGCGGUGGCUGGUGGAAGCGCCGUCGCUCAACGGAUAAAAGGUACCCCGGGGAUAACAGGCUGAUCUUCCCCAAGAGUCCAUAUCGACGGGAUGGUUUGGCACCUCGAUGUCGGCUCGUCGCAUCCUGGGGCUGGAGUCGGUCCCAAGGGUUGGGCUGUUCGCCCAUUAAAGCGGUACGCGAGCUGGGUUUAGAACGUCGUGAGACAGUUCGGUCCCUAUCCGCUGUGCGCGUAGGAGUCUUGAGAAGGGCUGUCCCUAGUACGAGAGGACCGGGACGGACGAACCUCUGGUGUGCCAGUUGUUCUGCCAAGGGCAUGGCUGGUUGGCUACGUUCGGGAGGGAUAACCGCUGAAAGCAUCUAAGCGGGAAGCCUGCUUCGAGAUGAGGACUCCCACCCACUUGAUGGGGUAAGGCUCCCAGUAGACGACUGGGUUGAUAGGCCGGAUCUGGAAGC
This 1347-nucleotide ribosomal RNA is filed under the name Streptomyces sp. LB8. RNAcentral describes it as "partial 23S ribosomal RNA". It matches the Rfam family "Bacterial large subunit ribosomal RNA", at positions 1551 to 2874 of the family's 2925-position model. Lineage: Bacteria; Bacillati; Actinomycetota; Actinomycetes; Kitasatosporales; Streptomycetaceae. The record is from RNAcentral.